RNAcentral lists this transfer RNA (85 nucleotides) under Colletotrichum fructicola Nara gc5. Its description in RNAcentral is "tRNA-Arg for anticodon UCU". It matches the Rfam family "tRNA". From Rfam's summary of the family: Transfer RNA (tRNA) molecules are approximately 80 nucleotides in length. Their secondary structure includes four short double-helical elements and three loops (D, anti-codon, and T loops). RNAcentral also lists the same sequence under 3 other names. Lineage: Eukaryota; Fungi; Ascomycota; Sordariomycetes; Glomerellales; Glomerellaceae. The record is from Rfam by way of RNAcentral.
GGCCGACUGGCGCAAUGGUAGCGCGUCAGACUUCUACUGAUAUACAGUGAUCUGAAGGCUGCGGGUUCGAGACCCGCGUUGGUCA